AUUGAACGCUGGCGGCAGGCCUAACACAUGCAAGUCGAGCGGUAGCAGGCCUUCGGGUGCUGACGAGCGGCGGACGGGUGAGGAAUGCAUAGGAAUCUGCCUAUUCGUGGGGGAUAACACGGGGAAACUCGUGCUAAUACCGCAUACGUCCUACGGGAGAAAGCGGGGGAUCGAAAGACCUCGUGCUAAUAGAUGAGCCUAUGCCGGAUUAGCUAGUUGGUAGGGUAAAGGCCUACCAAGGCGACGAUCCGUAGCUGGUCUGCGAGGAUGAUCAGCCACACUGGGACUGAGACACGGCCCAGACUCCUACGGGAGGCAGCAGUGGGGAAUAUUGGACAAUGGGCGCAAGCCUGAUCCAGCCAUGCCGCGUGUGUGAAGAAGGCCUUCGGGUUGUAAAGCACUUUAAGUGGGGAGGAAGGUCAGUAGAUUAAUACUCUGCUGAAUUGACGUUACCCACAGAAUAAGCACCGGCUAACUCUGUGCCAGCAGCCGCAGUAA
RNAcentral lists this ribosomal RNA (498 nucleotides) under uncultured bacterium. RNAcentral's name for it is "partial 16S ribosomal RNA". It matches the Rfam family "Bacterial small subunit ribosomal RNA", at positions 30 to 523 of the family's 1533-position model. The record is from RNAcentral.